Molecule: long non-coding RNA, 714 nt
Organism: Daphnia pulex (common water flea)
Lineage: Eukaryota; Metazoa; Arthropoda; Branchiopoda; Diplostraca; Daphniidae
Exons: 3
Source: RefSeq, a predicted model, not a curated record
CUGGCACUUGACUUCGCAGCACCAGUGGAAUUUGCAGUUGCACUGAUGGGAGACGUGGUUGAACUGGUGGGUGUUGUACCCCCGUCCACAGCAGAGCAGGUUGCAGCCAUCAGCACCUAUUACAGAAUAGAGAGAACAAGUUACCUGUUGAGGUUCGAUUACACCUCCUGCCGACGACACCCAGCGACCCCGUCGACGGGUUCGCCUCGCAGUAGUUUGGCGAAGAGUUGAGAAACACCAGCUCCGAGAGACGGGGCUUGUUGUGCGGCUUCCUACGCAACUGCAGCGUCAACAGUUUGCGUGGCUUGCUGUCGUUGCCGCUGCGACUCUCUUUGGCGACGACGGCCUUGGCUUCACGGUACCUGUCACCACACAUUCAACAUCAAAACGAGUCAGCGCUGAUGGGCAUAUCAUAAUGUGUUUAACAAAACUAUUCAAAAACGAUGAUUUACUGCUUCAUCAGGGCAUCGCCAAUGUCCCUGAAGGCCGGCAAUUUCUCCCAACAGGUUUUGAGUGAGCAACUGCCGCUGACUCCGUGGCAUUUGCAUUCCUUCUUCAACAUCGAUUUGACAAUCUAGAUACACACAAAUGAUAAAGGAACAAAAAAGAAAAGAAGAUUCAUCAAGCUCCUAUCGUCUCCUUCGGUUUCUCUCGAGUCGGCGAAUCGUUUGGCCAGCGAGGCUCCCGAUCGGACGUCGGCCGAACAGCCGCCCC